Non-coding RNA from Chloroflexi bacterium GWB2_54_36, 161 nucleotides. NCBI's taxonomy places the organism in Bacteria, Bacillati, Chloroflexota. The record is from Rfam.
AUUGUAUAUUUGCCUUCACCGGUGAAAGCUGGUGCCCCAACAGGCUUAAUUUCCUGCCGAGGUGAAGACUGAAACGCGAUAUCCAUGCUGCAUGGCUGCAGCCGCGAAAAAGUCUUUGCCCGGCACUUCCAAGUGAGGCAAAGACUUUUUUUAUUUUGAUC